AGCUCCAAUAGCGUAUAUUAAAGUUGUUGCAGUUAAAAAGCUCGUAGUUGGAUUUGUGGUUCGGGCGUUUCGGUUCCACUAGUUGGCAACCUGAAUCGUUUGACCAUCCUUGGGUGGAAUCUGUGUGGCAUUAGGUUGUCGUGCAGGGGAUGCCCAUCGUUUACUGUGAAAAAAUUAGAGUGUUCAAAGCAGGCUUAUGCCGUUGAAUAUAUUAGCAUGGAAUAAUAAUAUAGGACCUAGGUACUAUUUUGUUGGUUUGUUUACCUUGGUAAUGAUUAAUAGGGACAGUUGGGGGUAUUCGUAUUCCAUUGUCAGAGGUGAAAUUCUUGGAUUUUUGGAAGACGAACUACUGCGAAAGCAUUUACCAAGGAUGUUUUCA
RNAcentral lists this ribosomal RNA (379 nucleotides) under uncultured eukaryote. RNAcentral's name for it is "SSU rRNA". It matches the Rfam family "Eukaryotic small subunit ribosomal RNA", at positions 587 to 972 of the family's 1831-position model. The record is from RNAcentral.